ACGGCUCAGUAACACGUGGAUAACCUGCCCUAAGGAAGGGGAUAACCCCGGGAAACUGGGGAUAAUACCCUAUAGGUUACAGAUGCUGGAAUGCUUUGUAACCCAAAGUUCCGACGCCUUAGGAUGGAUCUGCGGCCGAUUAGGUUGUUGUCGGGGUAACGGCCCAACAAGCCAGUAAUCGGUACGGGUUGUGGGAGCAAGAGCCCGGAGUUGGAUUCUGAGACACGAAUCCAGGCCCUACGGGGCGCAGCAGGCGCGAAAACUUUACAAUGCGGGCAACCGUGAUAAGGGAACCUCGAGUGCCUGUAUAUGCAGGCUGUCCAGGUGUCUAAAACACACCUGAAGAAAGGGCCGGGCAAGACCGGUGCCAGCCGCCGCGGUAAUACCGGCGGCUCGAGUGGUGGCCACUUUUAUUGGGCUUAAAGCGUUCGUAGCUGGGUUGUUAAGUCUCUUGGGAAAUCUGACGGCUUAACCGUCAGGCGUCUAAGAGAUACUGGCAAUCUUGGAACCGGGAGAGGUGAGGGGUACUUCGGGGGUAGGGAGUGAAAUCCUGUAAUCCUCGAGGGACCACCUGUGGCGAAGGCGCCUCACCAGAACGGCUUCGACAGUGAGGGACGAAAGCUGGGGGAGCAAACCGGAUUAGAUACCCGGGUAGUCCCAGCCGUAAACGAUGUGCGUUAGGUGUAUCGGUGACCACGAGUCACCGAGGUGCCGAAGGGAAACCGUGAAACGUACCGCCUGGGAAGUACGGUCGCAAGGCUGAAACUUAAAGGAAUUGGCGGGGGAGCAC
This 790-nucleotide ribosomal RNA is filed under the name uncultured archaeon. Its description in RNAcentral is "bacterial SSU rRNA". It matches the Rfam family "Archaeal small subunit ribosomal RNA", at positions 85 to 879 of the family's 1478-position model. The record is from RNAcentral.